This 499-nucleotide ribosomal RNA is filed under the name uncultured bacterium. RNAcentral's name for it is "bacterial SSU rRNA". It matches the Rfam family "Bacterial small subunit ribosomal RNA", at positions 356 to 869 of the family's 1533-position model. The record is from RNAcentral.
GGGGAAUAUUGGCCAAUGGGCGAAAGCCUGACCCAGCAACGCCGCGUGAGGGAAGAAGGGUUUCGGCUCGUAAACCUCUGUCCUAUGGGACGAAGGAAGUGACGGUACCAUAGGAGGAAGCCCCGGCUAACUACGUGCCAGCAGCCGCGGUAAUACGUAGGGGGCGAGCGUUGUCCGGAAUGAUUGGGCGUAAAGGGCGCGUAGGCGGCCUGCUAAGUCUGGAGUGAAAGUCCUGCUUUCAAGGUGGGAAGUGCUUUGGAUACUGGUGGGCUGGAGUGCAGGAGAGGAAAGCGGAAUUACCGGUGUAGCGGUGAAAUGCGUAGAGAUCGGUAGGAACACCAGUGGCGAAGGCGGCUUUCUGGACUGAAACUGACGCUGAGGCGCGAAAGCGUGGGGAGCAAACAGGAUUAGAUACCCUGGUAGUCCACGCGGUAAACGAUGAAUGCUANGUGUUGGGGAGCAAAGCUCUUCGGUGCCGCCGCAAACGCAUUAAGCAUUC